CUUCAAGGAGCCCAGCCACAGCGGGGUUUCGCGCUUCUGGCCGUAGGUGGCGAGCAGCGCGUGCGCCUC
Molecule: antisense RNA, 69 nt
Filed under: Allokutzneria albata
Lineage: Bacteria; Bacillati; Actinomycetota; Actinomycetes; Pseudonocardiales; Pseudonocardiaceae
Description: Kibdelosporangium albatum ASpks TB sRNA
Rfam family: ASpks TB sRNA
Source: Rfam by way of RNAcentral